RNAcentral lists this unclassified non-coding RNA (201 nucleotides) under plant metagenome. Its description in RNAcentral is "partial contains small subunit ribosomal RNA, internal transcribed spacer 1, and 5.8S ribosomal RNA". The record is from RNAcentral.
UCUCCGUUGGUGAACCGGCGGAGGGAUCAUUAUCGAGUUUAUAACUCCCAAACCCUAUGUGAACUUACCACUUGUUGCUUCGGCGCGCGCUUCGGUGCCGCCGAGGACACUUAAACUCUUUGUUUUUAUAAGCAUUUCUGAGUGGCCGAAAGGCAAAAUACAAAUGAAUCAAAACUUUCAACAACGGAUCUCUUGGUUCUG